UACUGCGGUAUUCUGGAGCUAAUACAUGCGUCCGAGCCCCGAACUCACGUGAGGGGCGCUUUUAUUAGAUCAAGGCCGAACGCCCGGCAACGGGCGUCCCCCCUGGCGACUCUGAAUAACUUUGAGCGGAUCGCACGGCCCCGUGCCGGCGACGCGUCCUCCCGAGGUGUGCCCUAUCAACUGUCGACUGUGGCAUCGACGCCCACAGUGGUCUUGACGGGUGACGGGGAAUCGGGGUUCGGUUCCGGAGAGGGAGCCUGAGAGACGGCUACCACUUCUAAGGAAGGCAGCAGGCGCGCAAAUUACCCACUGGCCGCGGGCCGAGGUAGUGACGAAAAAUAACGACGCCGGACUCAUCCGAGGCCCGGCGAUCGGAAUGGGCACAGCCUAAAUCCUUUAGCGAGGAACCACUGGAGGGCAAGUCUGGUGCCAGCAGCCGCGGUAAUUCCAGCUCCAGUAGCGUAUGUUAAAGUUGUUGCGGUUAAAAAGCUCGUAGUUGGAUCUCGGCGGGCCGGGGGCGGCGCGGCCCCCAAGCGUCGCUGCCGCCCCGUCGCUCCCUCGCGGGAGCGUUGGCCCGUUCCCCCCUCCCUCGCGGGAGGGGCUUUAUCGGCGGAGGCCGGCGGGUGCUCUUAACCGGGUGUCCGCUCCGGCGCCGUCGGGUUCGCUUUGAAAAAAUUAGAGUGCUCCAGGCAGGCCUGACGCGCCUGAAUAGUCGUGCAUGGAAUGAUGGAACAGGACGUCGCUUCCAUUCCGUCGGUCCUUGGGAAGUCGACGUGAUGAUUGACAGGGACGGUCGGGGGCGCGACAGAGGUGAAAUUCUUGGACCGCCUGAAGACCCGCGGCUGCGAAAGCGCUCGCCAAGAACGUUUUCAUUAAUCAAGAACGAAAGUCAGAGGUUCGAAGGCGAUCAGAUACCGCCCUAGUUCUGACCAUAAACGAUGCCAGCCGGCGAUCCGCGGCUGUUUUCGACGUAGGCUCCGCGGGAAGCCUCCGGGAAACCACGAGCGUUCGGGUUCCGGGGGGAGUAUGGUUGCAAAGCUGAAACUUAAAGGAAUUGACGGAAGGGCACCACCAGGAGUGGAGCCUGCGGCUUAAUUUGACUCAACACGGGGAACCUCACCAGGCCCGGACACCGGCAGGAUUGACAGAUUGAGAGCUCUUUCUCGAUUCGGUGGGUGGUGGUGCAUGGCCGUUCUUAGUUGGUGGAGCGAUUUGUCUGGUUAAUUCCGAUAACGAACGAGACUCUGUCCUGCUAACUAGGGAGGGGGUCCGCGGGGGCCGGUUUCGGCCGGCCCUCUGGUCCUGUUGGGCGCCCCCUCCCGCAUCUUCUUAGAGGGACCGGCGGCGUUCAGCCGCACGAGACUGAGCAAUAACAGGUCUGUGAUGCCCUUAGAUGUCCUGGGCCGCACGCGCGCUACACUGAAGGGACCAGCGUGUCGCCUCCCUUCCCGAGAGGGACGGGUAACCCGCUGAGCCCCCUUCGUGGUAGGGACCGGGGCUUGCAAUUGUUCCCCGCGAACCAGGAAUUCCCAGUAGGCGCGGGUCAUCAGCCCGCGUCGAUUACGUCCCUGCCCUUUGUACACACCGCCCGUCGCUACUACCGAUUGAACGUUUUAGUGAGGCAUUCGGACCGGGCCUCGGCCGGCUCGCGCCGGCCGCGC
Molecule: ribosomal RNA, 1661 nt
Filed under: Nitocra spinipes
Lineage: Eukaryota; Metazoa; Arthropoda; Copepoda; Harpacticoida; Ameiridae
Description: SSU rRNA
Rfam family: Eukaryotic small subunit ribosomal RNA
Source: RNAcentral